UGGGGAAUUUUCCGCAAUGGGCGAAAGCCUGACGGAGCAACGCCGCGUGAGGGAUGAAGGCCUCUGGGCUGUAAACCUCUUUUCUCAAGGAAGAAGACAUGACGGUACUUGAGGAAUAAGCCACGGCUAAUUCCGUGCCAGCAGCCGCGGUAAUACGGGAGUGGCAAGCGUUAUCCGGAAUUAUUGGGCGUAAAGCGUCCGCAGGCGGCCUUGUAAGUCUGUCGUUAAAGCGUGGAGCUUAACUCCAUUUCAGCGAUGGAAACUACAAGGCUUGAGUGUGGUAGGGGCAGAGGGAAUUCCCGGUGUAGCGGUGAAAUGCGUAGAUAUCGGGAAGAACACCAGUGGCGAAGGCGCUCUGCUGGGCCAUAACUGACGCUCAUGGACGAAAGCCAGGGGAGCGAAAGGGAUUAGAUACCCCUGUAGUC
Molecule: ribosomal RNA, 425 nt
Filed under: Cyanobium sp. UAM 406
Lineage: Bacteria; Bacillati; Cyanobacteriota; Cyanophyceae; Synechococcales; Prochlorococcaceae
Description: bacterial SSU rRNA
Rfam family: Bacterial small subunit ribosomal RNA
Source: RNAcentral